UCGCGUUAAACGUGCCGCCUGGGGAGUACGGUCGCAAGAUUAAAACUCAAAGAAAUUGACGGGGGCCUGCACAAGCGGUGGAGUAUGUGGCUCAAUUCGAUGCAACGCGAAGAACCUUACCUGGGCUAGACAACGGCGGACUGUCCUAGAGAUAGGAUUUUCCCUUCGGGGACUGCCGGUUCAGGUGCUGCAUGGCUGUCGUCAGCUCGUGCCGUGAGGUGUUGGGUUAAGUCCCGCAACGAGCGCAACCCUCGUCCUUAGUUGCCACCAUUCAGUUGGGCACUCUAGGGAGACUGCCGGCGUUAAGCCGGAGGAAGGUGGGGAUGACGUGUCGCAACUAACCA
This 344-nucleotide unclassified non-coding RNA is filed under the name uncultured delta proteobacterium. Its description in RNAcentral is "contains 16S-23S intergenic spacer region". It matches the Rfam family "Bacterial small subunit ribosomal RNA", at positions 855 to 1195 of the family's 1533-position model. The record is from RNAcentral. Lineage: Bacteria; Deltaproteobacteria.